GCCGCGGUGCUGGAAUUGGCAGACAGGCUAGGUUGAGGGCCUAGUGUCCGUUUAGGACGUGCGAGUUCAAGUCUCGCCCGCGGCACCA
RNAcentral lists this transfer RNA (88 nucleotides) under candidate division WWE3 bacterium CG_4_10_14_0_2_um_filter_41_14. Its description in RNAcentral is "tRNA-Leu". It matches the Rfam family "tRNA". Rfam says of the family: Transfer RNA (tRNA) molecules are approximately 80 nucleotides in length. Their secondary structure includes four short double-helical elements and three loops (D, anti-codon, and T loops). RNAcentral also lists the same sequence under 1 other name. Lineage: Bacteria; candidate division WWE3. The record is from RNAcentral.